This 378-nucleotide long non-coding RNA is filed under the name Trifolium pratense (red clover). RNAcentral describes it as "long non-coding RNA (TPRA_LNC008226)". The record is from RNAcentral. Lineage: Eukaryota; Viridiplantae; Streptophyta; Magnoliopsida; Fabales; Fabaceae.
UUUUGAUAACCAUGCCAAGGUUAUUUUAUGCCUUUGAGAGUGUCUCUCUGUAUCGUAGUGUUGCCACUGUAUCAACUAUAUUUGAUUGCAAUAGUUGCAAUUGCAUUUAAAAACAUUGGUCUGUGCUACAUAUUGUUUUGAUUCUCACAUCAAGCAUAGUUGAGACUUGAGACUUUAGACUAGACAAUUUCCCUCAAAACUUGAGUUUUUGAAAUUGUACAAAUAUUUUAUGUGAACCCUUCAUGUAUAUAUUCCACUCAGCAUACUCUUUUUUUUGUCACCCUAGAUUUGGUUGGUACAAGAUGUGGCGAUAAAACAACACCAAUUUCAGUAAGCAGGAAACUUAAGGUACUCUUCAUCUUAGAAUUCAAUACCGGC